GGCUACGGUCUUUCUGCCGACGCCAUGACGUCUAUGUUUGUGCCUUGCGGCUGGGUCCGCCGCCUGGGCCUAGCAGAGCGGAGCCGGUGCGAUGCUGAGCCGGCGGCCCGGCCUUCCAGCCCCUCCGUGGGCGCCGCGCACACCUGAGGGAGCCGGACCGGGGAUGGACAGAAUGUCGAACAGGAGGCGCAGGAUCCCACCCUGAGGUAGGGAAUUUGGAGUGGAGGACUUCCCGCAGCCCUGGCCUCCCAUGAGUCCAUUUUAGGAGUGUCUCUUCCUCAAGUUUGGAGGACCGAGUGCUGGGAUGCAGUGUUGGCAGCAGUGGAGGAGGAGGAGCCUAUCUCCAGAGGAGUGCCCAUCAACAAACAGCACAGCCAUCAACGCAAGAUUAUGACUGAAGGCCACCUCUUAAACUCCCAAGUAUGUGUUUGCCCACCUUGUCCUGGUGAGGCACCUCUGAUAUUCUACCCCACAGAACAUUUAUAUACUACUUAAUAAAUUUGUUUCCAAAAUGA
This is a long non-coding RNA of Chionomys nivalis (European snow vole), 515 nucleotides long. RefSeq lists it as uncharacterized. The record is from RefSeq and is a predicted model, not a curated record. Lineage: Eukaryota; Metazoa; Chordata; Mammalia; Rodentia; Cricetidae. The transcript is spliced from 5 exons.